RNAcentral lists this transfer RNA (64 nucleotides) under Eisenia tracta. Its description in RNAcentral is "tRNA-Thr". The record is from RNAcentral. Lineage: Eukaryota; Metazoa; Annelida; Clitellata; Crassiclitellata; Lumbricidae.
GAAUUGAAAGCUAAUUAUAAGCAUUGGCCUUGUAAACCAAAGAUAGAGUGUUUCUCUCAAUUCU